GAGGGAGUAGCUCAGUUGAUAGAGCAUUAGCCUUCCAAGCUGAGGGUCGCGGGUUUGAGCCCCGUCUUCCGCUCUA
This 76-nucleotide transfer RNA is filed under the name Parabacteroides distasonis. RNAcentral describes it as "tRNA-Gly". It matches the Rfam family "tRNA". From Rfam's summary of the family: Transfer RNA (tRNA) molecules are approximately 80 nucleotides in length. Their secondary structure includes four short double-helical elements and three loops (D, anti-codon, and T loops). Further hydrogen bonds mediate the characteristic L-shaped molecular structure. tRNAs have two regions of fundamental functional importance: the anti-codon, which is responsible for specific mRNA codon recognition, and the 3' end, to which the tRNAs corresponding amino acid is attached (by aminoacyl-tRNA synthetases). tRNAs cope with the degeneracy of the genetic code in two manners: having more than one tRNA (with a specific anti-codon) for a particular amino acid; and 'wobble' base-pairing, i.e. permitting non-standard base-pairing at the 3rd anti-codon position. Lineage: Bacteria; Pseudomonadati; Bacteroidota; Bacteroidia; Bacteroidales; Tannerellaceae. The record is from RNAcentral.